GACGAACGCUGGCGGCGUGCUUAACACAUGCAAGUCGAACGAUGAAGCCGGAGCUUGCUCUGGUGAAUUAGUGGCGAACGGGUGAGUAACACGUGAGUAACCUGCCCUUGACUCUGGGAUAACUGCUAGAAAUGGUAGCUAAUACCGGAUACGACCCUCGGCGGCAUCGCCAGGGGGUGGAAAGAAUUUCGGUCAAGGAUGGACUCGCGGCCUAUCAGCUAGUUGGUGAGGUAACGGCUCACCAAGGCGACGACGGGUAGCCGGCCUGAGAGGGUGACCGGCCACACUGGGACCGAGACACGGCCCAGACUCCGACGGGAGGCAGCAGUGGGGAAUAUUGCACAAUGGGCGCAAGCCUGAUGCAACAACGCCGCGUGAGGGAUGACGGCCUUCGGGUUGUAAACCUCUUUUAGUAGGGAAGAAGCGAAAGUGACGGUACCUGCAGAAAAAGCACCGGCUAACUACGUGCCAGCCGCCGCCGUAA
RNAcentral lists this ribosomal RNA (484 nucleotides) under uncultured bacterium. RNAcentral describes it as "partial 16S ribosomal RNA". It matches the Rfam family "Bacterial small subunit ribosomal RNA", at positions 28 to 523 of the family's 1533-position model. The record is from RNAcentral.